RNAcentral lists this ribosomal RNA (496 nucleotides) under uncultured bacterium. Its description in RNAcentral is "partial 16S ribosomal RNA". It matches the Rfam family "Bacterial small subunit ribosomal RNA", at positions 28 to 506 of the family's 1533-position model. The record is from RNAcentral.
GACGAACGCUGGCGGCGUGCCUAAUACAUGCAAGUCGAACGCUGAAGCUUGGUGCUUGCACCGAGCGGAUGAGUUGCGCACGGGUGAGUAACGCGUAGGUAACCUGCCUGGUAGCGGGGGAUAGCUAGUGGAAACGAUAGCUAAUACCGCAUAAGAGUAGAUGUUGCAUGACAUUUUCUUAAAAGGUGCAAUUGCAUCACUACCAGAUGGACCUGCGUUGUAUUAGCUAGUUGGUGAGGUAACGGCUCACCAAGGCAACGAUACAUAGCCGACCUGAGAGGGUGAUAGGCCACACUGGGACUGGGACACGGCCCAGACGCCUACGGGACGGAGCAGUAGGGAAUCUUCGGCAAUGGACGGAAGUCUGACCGAGCAACGCCGCGUGAGUGAAGAAGGUUUUCGGAUCGUAAAGCUCUGUUGUAAGAGAAGAACGAGUGUGAGAGUGGAAAGUUCACACUGUGACGGUAUCUGACCAGAAAGGGACGGUUAACUCCUU